CAUAAUCGAGCAUUUCAAUAUCAACAUCCUGGGAAAUAACUCUCCCUGAACACUGCCCAAAUGGUUUGAGGAACUCUAGGCUCUGCCCCAUGAUGUACAGUCUCUUUCCACAGUGUCAACAAAAGCGUUCUGGACUUGAGUUUGCAUCUCCGCUUUCUUAUACCUUCUCAGAGUUCAGUGGACAGUGACUGAGGAGACAAACCACACAGGAGAUAUUU
Molecule: small nucleolar RNA, 218 nt
Organism: Sorex araneus (European shrew)
Lineage: Eukaryota; Metazoa; Chordata; Mammalia; Eulipotyphla; Soricidae
Gene: SNORA73
Rfam family: Small nucleolar RNA SNORA73 family
About the family: U17 (SNORA73A and SNORA73B) also known as E1 belongs to the H/ACA class of small nucleolar RNAs (snoRNAs). Vertebrate U17 is intron-encoded and ranges in length from 200-230 nucleotides, longer than most snoRNAs. It is one of the most abundant snoRNAs in human cells and is essential for the cleavage of pre-rRNA within the 5' external transcribed spacer (ETS).
Source: Ensembl